UAACACGCGGAUAAUCUGUCCUUAGGUGGAGGAUAAUCUCGGGAAACUGAGGAUAAUACUCCAUAGAUCUAGAAUGCUGGAAUGCAUCUAGAUUGAAAGCUCCGGCGCCUAAGGAUGAGUCUGCGGACUAUCAGGAUGUAGUCAGGGUAAAGACCUGACUAGCCUACGACGGAUACGGGUUGUGAGAGCAAUAACCCGGAGACGAUAUCUGAGACACGAUAUCGGGCCCUACGGGGCGCAGCAGGCGCGAAAACUUCACACUGUGCGAAAGCGCGAUGAGGGAAUCCCAAGUGUUUGCUCGUAAGAGUAAACUGUUUCUUUGUUUAAAACGCAGAGAGAGUAAGGGCUGGGUAAGACGGGUGCCAGCCGCCGCGGUAAUACCUGCAGCUCAAGUGGUGAUCAUUAUUAUUGGGCCUAAAACGUCCGUAGCCGGUUUAGUAAAUGCCUGGGUAAAUCGUGUAACUUAACUAUACNACUUCCGGGUAGACUGCUAAACUUGAGACCGGGAGAGGCUAGAGGUACUCCUGGGGUAGAGGUGAAAUUCUGUAAUCCUAGGGGGACCACCAGUGG
Molecule: ribosomal RNA, 570 nt
Filed under: uncultured archaeon
Lineage: Archaea
Description: bacterial SSU rRNA
Rfam family: Archaeal small subunit ribosomal RNA
Source: RNAcentral